ACGAACGCUGGCGGCGUGCUUAACACAUGCAAGUCGAACGGAAAGGCCCUGCUUUUGUGGGGUGCUCGAGUGGCGAACGGGGGAGUAACCCGUGAGUAACCUGCCCUUGACUUUGGGAUAACUUCAGGAAACUGGGGCUAAUACCGGAUAGGAGCUCCUGCUGCUUGGUGGGGGUUGGAAAGUUUCGGCGGUUGGGGAUGGACUCGCGGCUUAUCAGCUUGUUGGUGGGGUAGGGGCUUACCAAGGCUUUGACGGGUAGCCGGCCUGAGAGGGUGACCGGACACAUUGGGACUGAGAUACGGCCCAGACUCCUACGGGAGGCAGCAGUGGGGAAUAUUGCACAAUGGGCGGAAGCCUGAUGCAGCAACGCCGCGUGCGGGAUGACGGCCUUCGGGUUGUAAACCGCUUUCGCCUGUGACGAAGCGUGAGUGACGGUAAUGGGUAAAGAAGCACCGGCUAACUACGUG
Molecule: ribosomal RNA, 467 nt
Filed under: uncultured bacterium
Lineage: Bacteria
Description: partial 16S ribosomal RNA
Rfam family: Bacterial small subunit ribosomal RNA
Source: RNAcentral